GUUGAUUAUAAUUUCAAGUCUGACCUGCCCACUGAGUAGUUGAAUGGCCGCGGCAAAUUGACCGUGCAAAGGUAGCAUAAUCAUUAGUUUUUUAAUUGAAAGCUUGUAUAAAAGGUUUGAUGAGAAAAUUACUGUCUCUAUUAGAGUUUAUUGAAAUUUUAUUUUUAAGUUAAAAAGCUUAAAUUUUCAUAGAAGACGAGAAGACCCUAUAGAGUUUUACACAAGUUUUGGAAUAAAGAAUGUAAAGGAUAAAAGGUUUAGAUUUUAUAUAUUGUGUUUUAUUGGGGUGAUAGAAAAAUUAAGGGAACUUUAUUUUUAUUUAAAUAUUUAUUUAUAGGUUUUUGAUCCUAAAGUUUAGAUUAAAAGAUUAAACUACCUUAGGGAUAACAGCGUARUUUUUCUUAGAGUUCUUAUC
RNAcentral lists this ribosomal RNA (415 nucleotides) under Trigonopterus carinirostris. RNAcentral's name for it is "partial large subunit ribosomal RNA". Lineage: Eukaryota; Metazoa; Arthropoda; Insecta; Coleoptera; Curculionidae. The record is from RNAcentral.